GUCACUGUGCCUCUGCUCCUGGUUAACUCCUCAGACGACCCCCUCAUUCAUCAGUCUCUGCUGGAUAUUCCUCGCACACUCGCAGAAAAGAUGCCCAAUGUGAUAUUCGCCCUGACUCAACACGGAGGCCACCUGGGCUUCUUCGAGGGGGCCGUGCUCUUCCCUCAACCGCUCACCUGGAUGGACAAAGUGAUCGUGGAGUACACCAACGCCAUCUGCCACUGGGAGAAGAACCUGCCGGCGUGCCAGCGGAGCAGCAACCGGGGCUCUGACGCCUGCCUGCAGAGCACAGGGGACACACUCCGCGGGUAACACACAGAAGACCAAAAACAUGCAAACUCUUCUGUAUUCGCUCUACUUCAGUACUAAUGGGAAAUGUAGGAAGUCACUAAAUGGAUUAGAAGAGUUGAAGUGGAAGCUGUAAGGUGUAAACGGAAACUCGCAUAAGAUACCUGCAAAUGUAACACGACCCCAGGGUUGAAUUAGUCGUUCCUCUUGUUCCCAGUUAACCCCCGGUGUAACACGAGUUCACACUUUGCUGGUUUUUUUGGCAGCUGCUGCUCCUUGAGGGUGAUAUAAUUAGUGAGGGGGAAACACACUGCAACCAGAGGCUGAAAAUGACCUUUAACCUGCAUGUA
Long non-coding RNA from Notothenia coriiceps (black rockcod), 638 nucleotides. RefSeq lists it as uncharacterized. Lineage: Eukaryota; Metazoa; Chordata; Actinopteri; Perciformes; Nototheniidae. The record is from RefSeq and is a predicted model, not a curated record. The transcript has 2 exons.